This 457-nucleotide ribosomal RNA is filed under the name uncultured Streptococcus sp. RNAcentral's name for it is "bacterial SSU rRNA". It matches the Rfam family "Bacterial small subunit ribosomal RNA", at positions 923 to 1382 of the family's 1533-position model. Lineage: Bacteria; Bacillati; Bacillota; Bacilli; Lactobacillales; Streptococcaceae. The record is from RNAcentral.
GCACAAGCGGUGGAGCAUGUGGUUAAUUCGAAGCAACGCGAAGAACCUUACCAGGUCUUGACAUCCCGAUGCUAUUUCUAGAGAUAGAAAGUUACUUCGGUACAUCGGUGACAGGUGGUGCAUGGUUGUCGUCAGCUCGUGUCGUGAGAUGUUGGGUUACGUCCCGCAACGAGCGCAACCCCUAUUGUUAGUUGCCAUCAUUCAGUUGGGCACUCUAGCGAGACUGCCGGUAAUAAACCGGAGGAAGUGGGGAUGACGUCAAAUCAUCAUGCCCCUUAUGACCUGGGCUACACACGUGCUACAAUGGUUGGUACAACGAGUUGCGAGUCGGUGACGGCGAGCUAAUCUCUUAAAGCCAAUCUCAGUUCGGAUUGUAGGCUGCAACUCGCCUACAUGAAGUCGGAAUCGCUAGUAAUCGCGGAUCAGCACGCCGCGGUCGAAUACGUUCCCGGGCCUU